Long non-coding RNA from Mytilus californianus (California mussel), 273 nucleotides. RefSeq lists it as uncharacterized. The transcript is spliced from 2 exons. The record is from RefSeq and is a predicted model, not a curated record. Lineage: Eukaryota; Metazoa; Mollusca; Bivalvia; Mytilida; Mytilidae.
GAAUAUAUUCUGAACUGACAACGAUAGUGAAUCCGUACGGAAAAAUUACAUACGCAAUACCGGAAACUGAUCAGUGACGUAUAUCAACAUAACCGGUUCAUGAACUAGGACGACAAAGAACACAUUUUUCGUUGGUUUCAUCUUGAUCAACAAACAUUAUUGCUGGAUUUAUUGAACAUAUUAGUAUUAUAGUAUAUUUAAACCUUGCCAAAGAUGUAGUAUUCGAUAUCUUAUGGUUUAUAUGGAAAUGUGCCACUUGCACGAUAUGUGAGG